UCCUCCCUCUUUCUUCGUGCUUAACACAUGCAAGUCGAACGGAAAAGCCCUGCUUUUGUGGGGUGCUCGAGUGGCGAACGGGUGAGUAACACGUGAGUAACCUGCCCUUGACUUUGGGAUAACUUCAGGAAACUGGGGCUAAUACCGGAUAGGAGCUCCUGCUGCAUGGUGGGGGUUGGAAAGUUUCGGCGGUUGGGGAUGGACUCGCGGCUUAUCAGCUUGUUGGUGGGGUAGUGGCUUACCAAGGCUUUGACGGGUAGCCGGCCUGAGAGGGUGACCGGCCACAUUGGGACUGAGAUACGGCCCAGACUCCUACGGGAGGCAGCAGUGGGGAAUAUUGCACAAUGGGCGGAAGCCUGAUGCAGCAACGCCGCGUGCGGGAUGACGGCCUUCGGGUUGUAAACCGCUUUCGCCUGUGACGAAGCGUGAGUGACGGUAAUGGGUAAAGAAGCACCGGCUAACUACGUG
This 468-nucleotide ribosomal RNA is filed under the name uncultured bacterium. RNAcentral's name for it is "partial 16S ribosomal RNA". It matches the Rfam family "Bacterial small subunit ribosomal RNA", at positions 36 to 507 of the family's 1533-position model. The record is from RNAcentral.